GACGAACGCUGGCGGCGUGCUUAACACAUGCAAGUCGAACGAGAAGACAUGAGAAGCUUGCUUCUUAUCGAUUCUAGUGGCAAACGGGUGAGUAACGCGUAAGCAACCUGCCCUUCAGAUGGGGACAACAGCUGGAAACGGCUGCUAAUACCGAAUACGUUCUUUCCGCCGCAUGACGGAAUGAAGAAAGGGAGGCCUUCGGGCUUUCGCUGGAGGAGGGGCUUGCGUCUGAUUAGCUAGUUGGAGGGGUAACGGCCCACCAAGGCGACGAUCAGUAGCCGGUCUGAGAGGAUGAACGGCCACAUUGGGACUGAGACACGGCCCAGACUCCUACGGGAGGCAGCAGUGGGGAAUCUUCCGCAAUGGACGAAAGUCUGACGGAGCAACGCCGCGUGAACGAUGACGGCCUUCGGGUUGUAAAGUUCUGUUAUAUGGGACGAACAGGACAUCGGUUAAUACCCGGUGUCUUUGACGGUACCGUAAGAGAAAGCCACGGCUAACUACGUGCCAGCAGCCGCGGUAAUACGUAGGUGGCAAGCGUUGUCCGGAAUUAUUGGGCGUAAAGGGCGCGCAGGCGGCAUCGCAAGUCGGUCUUAAAAGUGCGGGGCUUAACCCCGUGAGGGGACCGAAACUGUGAAGCUCGAGUGUCGGAGAGGAAAGCGGAGUUCCUAGUGUAGCGGUGAAAUGCGUAGAUAUUAGGAGGAACACCAGUGGCGAAAGCGGCUUUCUGGACGACAACUGACGCUGAGGCGCGAAAGCCAGGGGAGCAAACGGGAUUAGAUACCCCGGUAGUCCUGGCCGUAA
RNAcentral lists this ribosomal RNA (804 nucleotides) under uncultured bacterium. RNAcentral's name for it is "bacterial SSU rRNA". It matches the Rfam family "Bacterial small subunit ribosomal RNA", at positions 28 to 805 of the family's 1533-position model. The record is from RNAcentral.